RNAcentral lists this ribosomal RNA (253 nucleotides) under uncultured bacterium. RNAcentral describes it as "partial 16S ribosomal RNA". It matches the Rfam family "Archaeal small subunit ribosomal RNA", at positions 474 to 727 of the family's 1478-position model. The record is from RNAcentral.
UACCAGCACCCCGAGUGGUCGGGACGUUUAUUGGGCCUAAAGCAUCCGUAGCCGGUUCUACAAGUCUUCCGUUAAAUCCACCUGCUUAACAGAUGGGCUGCGGAGGAUACUAUAAGACUAGGAGGCAGGAGAGGCAAGCGGUACUCAGUGGGUAGGGGUAAAAUCCGUUGAUCCAUUGAAGACCACCAGUGGCGAAGGCGGCUUGCCAGAAUGCGCUCGACGGUGAGGGAUGAAAGCUGGGGGAGCAAACCGG